Long non-coding RNA from Pistacia vera, 1851 nucleotides. RefSeq lists it as uncharacterized. Lineage: Eukaryota; Viridiplantae; Streptophyta; Magnoliopsida; Sapindales; Anacardiaceae. The record is from RefSeq and is a predicted model, not a curated record. The transcript is spliced from 7 exons.
UGAAUUAACUGCCUGCUGUGAAAGAGAUUGUGAUGUAAUCAUUUGAUUUGCUUGAUCAUUCUUUCAUGUGAUUGUAUAUAACAUUAAUGCUGUAUUUAAGGAUCUGAAUUUGGGAACCCAAAACUCACUCAAAACCUUUGUGUUUUCUUGUUCCUUCAAAAGCUGAAACUCUGCCACCACUUCAAAGCUGGAUUUGUUAAAGGCAUUUUAUGCAACAUGUUUGAUGAAAUGCUUGUGAGGAAUGGUUUCUUACACGUGGUGAGUUUGUUGCCAAAUUAUACAUCUGCAGCAUAAUUGAAGCCAAUACUUGGUACUGACUGGUUUGCUUGCUUGCAAACACACGACAAUUACAAUCUGACACGAGUGCCUGAGCAGACCCCAUUUAAUUAGUUUUAGAACCCAGGCUCAACUUACUAUACAAGCUUCCAUGACUGCAACAGAUGGUACUGUUUGUGAAACGCCAACUCAGUAAACAAAAGAGCUCUAAUGUAACAUGAUGAGACUUUGUCUUCAUCAGCAAACCAAUAGAAGCUGCCUGUGUAGCACUGAGGCUUGCACUUUGCCACCGCCUUGAGCAGCUCGGGCAGCCGAAGCAAUCUACUCCUGUGGCCCUCAUGAUCUGCUGGCUUGGCUGCUGAUCUACUGUUGUUGUGCUUAUUUAAUGAAUAUGAAGAAUAUGGCUUUGCCAUGACAGGAAGCAUUACAAGAGAAAAGGUUGGGUUGAAUAUAUAUUUAUUGUGCAAGAUAUGCUCUUUAACUCUUUUGUUCACGACUGAGAAGAGUGAUAUGAAGAUUCAAAGAUUUAUAAUACUUAUUCCACUUUUUAUGGUUAAAAAUGCUACAAUUUCGUCUGACUUCAGACUUGCUCUGAUUGUCUAGAUCAUCGGUGAUCUAUAAGCAUGUAUUAGACCAUAUGAAAUAUUCAUUAUGUUCUAGCCUUAAAUUUUUGCAUGCUUUUAAAAAAUUUUCAGCUAAAACUUUCUAUAGGUUGUCUCGAACAGUUCACACAUGAGAUCCUGCCCUUUCCAAGAAAGCAGAGCGAUGCUUGUUUGGUUUAACAGAGGAAUCAGCAAGCCUCUAUGCAAAGAUGGUGUUGAUUACUAAUGGUCAUUGAAUUGGGUCAUAUGUAAACGUUCAUGACGGCAUGCACCGUUGGUAUUCUUGCUAAGAUGCCUAUGUGGAAAUCUGGUCUUGAAUACCAACAGGGUACUGGUCAUGGAAUUGGGUCUUAGCUAAACACUCAUGAAGUUGUUGGAAGCACCUUGGACUGUUUGUUUGGUGCAGCAGGCUGUCAGUUUGGUUUCUUACUUCACUAUGAGGACACAUUGGAACUUUAGAGAAGCAAAUUAAGAAACUUGCUGGUAUAGGAGAAGGUUAGAAGCCCAAAUUAAAGCUGCUGAAAGGAAUCCAGAAAUUAUAGAAAUUGAUGUUCUGGAUGUCGGAGGUUGAUUGAAUCACUGCUGAAGAUGAAAAACUUAUGGAGGGUGAAGUCAAAGCAAACAAGAGGCGUCUCAAUGAGUGGUGCAUUAAUCUCAAACAACGUAACCGACUCAAUAAAUAGGUAAGGAAGACGUUUAUGUUGUGUUGAUUACAUCUUAAAAUUUUGUAGCUUUUGUGUUUGAAUACAUUCCGGGUUUGUUCAAAGGCAAUUCAUGCAUCAUGUAUGAUGAAAUGUUUGUGAGGAAUGGUUUCCUACAUGUGGUGAAUUUGUUGUCAAAUAGUUCAAAGAAGCAUAAAAAUGUCACUACUUGGACCUGAUUGGUUUGCUCACAAACAAAUGAGAAUUAUGACCUGGCAUGAGGUGAUUUCCAACCAUGUGAAUUUACUUAUAUGUACUUAAUUGGAUGAUAA